UAGAGGGCCAAGAUACUUUCUUCCACUCUA
Molecule: non-coding RNA, 30 nt
Filed under: Rattus norvegicus (Norway rat)
Lineage: Eukaryota; Metazoa; Chordata; Mammalia; Rodentia; Muridae
Source: RNAcentral